This 492-nucleotide ribosomal RNA is filed under the name uncultured bacterium. RNAcentral's name for it is "partial 16S ribosomal RNA". It matches the Rfam family "Bacterial small subunit ribosomal RNA", at positions 29 to 507 of the family's 1533-position model. The record is from RNAcentral.
AGUGAACGCUGGCGGUAGGCCUAACACAUGCAAGUCGAACGGCAGCACAGUAAGAGCUUGCUCUUACGGGUGGCGAGUGGCGGACGGGUGAGGAAUACAUCGGAAUCUACUUUUUCGUGGGGGAUAACGUAGGGAAACUUACGCUAAUACCGCAUACGACCUACGGGUGAAAGCAGGGGAUCUUCGGACCUUGCGCGAUUGAAUGAGCCGAUGUCGGAUUCGCUAGUUGGCGGGGUAAAGGCCCACCAAGGCGGCGAUCCGUAGCUGGUCUGAGAGGAUGAUCAGCCACACGGGAACUGAGACACGGUCCAGACUCCUACGGGGGGCAGCAGUGGAGAAUAUUGGACGAUGGGGGCAAGCCUGAUCCAGCCAUACCGCGUGGAUGAAGAAGGCCUUCGGGUUGUAAAGCCCUUUUGUUGGGAAAGAAAAGCAGCAGGUUAAGACCCCGCUGUUCUGACGGUACCCAAAGAAUAAGCACCGGCUAACUUCGUG